UGGGGAAUAUUGCACAAUGGGGGAAACCCUGAUGCAGCGACGCCGCGUGAACGAAGAAGGUAUUCGUAUCGUAAAGUUCUGUCCUAUGGGAAGAUAAUGACAGUACCAUAGAAGAAAGCUCCGGCUACAUACGUGCCAGCAGCCGCGGUAAUACGUAUGGAGCGAGCGUUGUCCGGAAUUAUUGGGCGUAAAGGGUACGCAGGCGGUUUAAUAAGUCGAAUGUUAAAGAUCGGGGCUCAACCCCGUAAAGCAUUGGAAACUGAUAAACUGGAGUAGUGGAGAGGAAAGUGGAAUUCCUAGUGUAGUGGUGAAAUACGUAGAUAUGAGGAGGAAGAGCAGAAGCGAAGGCGACUUUCUGGACACAAACUGACGCUGAGGUACGAAAGCGUGGGGAGCAAACAGG
This 403-nucleotide ribosomal RNA is filed under the name bacterium. RNAcentral's name for it is "partial 16S ribosomal RNA". It matches the Rfam family "Bacterial small subunit ribosomal RNA", at positions 355 to 776 of the family's 1533-position model. The record is from RNAcentral.